RNAcentral lists this long non-coding RNA (2031 nucleotides) under Homo sapiens (human). RNAcentral's name for it is "HSALNT0066610". The record is from RNAcentral. Lineage: Eukaryota; Metazoa; Chordata; Mammalia; Primates; Hominidae.
GACUUUACAAAAUCCUGGCAGUCCAUUGUGGACGACCAGGUUCAUGAAAGCUAAACUACCCAUUCUCUAAGGCCUCUUCUGCCUUAAUAGGCUUCAGAGACUUCAAUUCCUUCACCAUUUUGCAGAGCCUCUGCAAGGAGAGGAAGGAGCAAAGUGCUCUUCCUACAGCUGCUGUGAAAAUAACCAUGCUUUAAACACUCAAUUUAGGUUAUGUUUAGAAAGCAUAGUCCAAAUAAGCAGCUCUUCAGGACAAUGGCAUAAAACUACAACUUGACGUUUUUUUUUUCCUAGAAGACAGGGAAUGAGAAGGAUGGAAGGCCUGGAUAGCGUAAGAUAAAGAAUGGGGUAUGGUUGGAACACACAGAUGGCACAGUCCUUGAAGAAGCAGAAGAUCUAAGAGCCAGCUCAAGUUUUACCAUGUGCUCUUCUCCCCAUCCACGAGGCUGGCAGGAUUCUAGGCCUACUGCACCCUCAGUGAAGGGAACGUGGGGCAGCGCUGCAGUCAGCCUCUCAGGCAUCAGGUGAGUGCAAGAAAAUAUUUUUGAUAUUGUAAGCCUGUGAGAUUUUGGAGUUGCUUGUCACUGCCGCAGAGCCAAGCCUAACUUCCUGAUAUACUACCAUCCUCCUUUGGGAAGGAAGAGAGACGGAUUGCAGCACCAGCCAGCGUCUGAAGGAACUACGUGCACCCUCCUCUUUCCAUCCUCCCCACUCCUGACGCUGUUAACAGCACUCUCCUGUCAUGGUUAGUGCUAAGUGUCAAUUUGAUUGGGUUGAAGGAUGCAAAGUAUUGUUCCUGGAUGUGUCUGUGAGGGCGUUGCCAAAAGAGAUUAACAUUUGAGUCAGUGAACUGGGGGAGGCAGACCAACCCUCAAAGUGGCUGGGCACCAUCUCAUCAGCUGCCAGCACGGCUAGAAUAAAGCAGGCAGAAGAAGGUAGGAGAAGCUGACUUGCUGAGUCUUCUGGCCUUCAUCUUUCUCUUGUGCUGGGUGCUCCCUGCCCUUGAACAUCAGACUCCAAGUUCUUCGGCUUUUGGACACUUGAACUUACACCAGUGGCUCUCUCUCUCUCUGGCCUUCAGCCACAGACUGAAGACUACACUGUCGGCUUCCCGACUUCUGAGGUUUUGGGAUUCAGACUGGCUUUCUUGCUCCUCAGCUGGCAGAGGGCCUAUCAUGGGACUUCAUCUUGUGACUAUGUGAGUCAAUUCGCCUUCAUCUAUACAUCCAUCCUACUAGUCCUGUCCCUUUAGAGAACCCUGACUAAUACACCUCCUCGUCCACUACGACCCAAGGAACUGUAGAGCUCCGCUAAGAGCCAGUAGCCCAUCAGUCAUGCCCUCUGUAGCAGGUUGAAUGAUGCCCCCGAAAAGAGAUGUCCACAUCUUAACCCCCCAAAUCACGAAUGUGACUUAAUUUGGAAAAAGAACCUUGCAGGUAUCAUUAAGAUUCUCCAUAUGAAAUCAUCUUGUAUUACCAGGAUGUGCCCUAGAUCCAAGGACAGGUGUCCUUCUAGAGAUGAAGAGAAGACAGAGGAGAUGGAAGUGAUGCAGCUACAAACCGAAGAACCCCUAGGACCACCAGGAGCUUACAGACUCAAGGAGGCUUCUUCCCUAGAGCCUUUGAAGACAGCCUGCAGGCCGGGCGCCGUGGCUCACGCCUGUAAUCCCAACACUGUGGGAGGCACAGGCAGGCGGAUCACCUGAGGUUGGGAGUUUGAGACCAGCCUAACCAACAUGGAGAAACCCCGUCUCUACUAAAAAUACAAAAAUUAGCCAGGCGUGGUGGUGGAAGCCUGUAAUCCCAGCUGCUUGGGAGGCUGAGGCAGGAGAAUCACUUGAACCCGGGAGGCUGAGGUUGCAGUGAGCCGAGAUCGUGCCAUUGCACUGCAGCCUGGGCAACAAGAGUGAAACUCUGUCUCAAAAAAAAAAAAAAAGAGAGAGAGAGAGAGCCUGCAGCCUUGCUAACACCUUGAUUUUAGACUUCUGGUCUCCAGACCUGUGAGAGAAUAAAUUCUGCUGUUUUAAGCCACUCA